AUUUUUUACCCAUACCCAUGAGUGUCGGUGGCUUAUUGGGUGAGUUGGGUUUAGGUUCAUGUACCCCUCCCCUGCCCAUAUGGCAACUAUGCACCUGUCAAGAAAGUAGAAACUACAUUCGUUUUAGAUUCCCCGAGUCCGAAGUGAUGGUUAAUCAUUCUCAGCCAUCUUUUAGCACUUCUACUUGUCCAGCUACUUUGACCUGUAAUGUAUUCUUUCUAAAGGACGUGUGAGAGUUUACAUCCACAAGUCAUAAUGGUUGCCUUCACUUGAUAUAUUAGACCUUCAUAAAUACAUUGGCAGAGCAAUUCCAGUGUUUGCAUGGCCCACAGUGACUGUUUGAUUCUCUUGAUUGCUCCAAAAAAAUAUUCACCAACAAGACAGAUGGACCAUUAACCCUUUGGAGCCUAAUUGUACGAGAGAACAAUUUAAUAAAGAAUAUUCUUGCAAAACGUAUUUCAGUUGAUUAUGGCAAAACAUUAAAAACCCCUAGCAUGACACAGCACUUGAUAUCUUUAAUACUACUCAACAAACCUCUAGUUUAUUACAAAAGGCAAAUAAAUAGACUAAACAUGGAUAGUAAGCCAACGGACAGAUGAACAGUUGAGAAAAAAUUUAGCCCAUCUGUUAUAUACACUGUGCCAACAUUGCAUUUUCAUAAUAUAGUGAGCAGAGAUUGAAAAUAAUAUGUGCAUGUUUAUUUUUAGGGCAAUAUAUUCAUCGAAAAAUGUGUAAUCUCUGUUGGUAUAAACUUCCAGACAUAUGUAGUAAAAAGCUGAACUGAACUCAUUAUGCUUUUCAAGUCCUCUAUGGGAUAACCUGCAGCAUUGUUAAAGGGCUGCUAAUUCUCAAGGUAAGUUGCUUUGCUA
Molecule: non-coding RNA, 869 nt
Organism: Pelobates cultripes (western spadefoot toad)
Lineage: Eukaryota; Metazoa; Chordata; Amphibia; Anura; Pelobatidae
Source: the annotation of a GenBank genome assembly